This 381-nucleotide ribosomal RNA is filed under the name uncultured marine Chaetocerotaceae. Its description in RNAcentral is "SSU rRNA". It matches the Rfam family "Eukaryotic small subunit ribosomal RNA", at positions 587 to 972 of the family's 1831-position model. Lineage: Eukaryota; Bacillariophyta; Thalassiosirophyceae; Chaetocerotales; Chaetocerotaceae. The record is from RNAcentral.
AGCUCCAAUAGCGUAUAUUAAAGUUGCUGCAGUUAAAAAGCUCGUAGUUGCAUUUCCGAGGCAAGGGAUUAGUCAGAGCUUUGGUGGGUAUUUAAUCCUCUUGCCUCGUCCUUGAGUGGUGCUUCUUGGUAUUAAGUUAUCGAGGAGAUAGCCGCUCAUCGUUUACUGUGAGAAAAUUAGAGUGUUCAAAGCAGGCUUAUGCCGUUGAAUAUAUUAGCAUGGAAUAAUAAGAUAGGACCUCGGUACUAUUUUGUUGGUUUGAGAACCAAGGUAAUGAUGAAUAGGGACAGUUGGGGGUAUUCGUAUUCAGUUGUCAGAGGUGAAAUUCUUAGAUUUACGGAAGACGAACUACUGCGAAAGCAUUUACCAAGGAUGUUUUCA